RNAcentral lists this ribosomal RNA (650 nucleotides) under Acinetobacter baumannii OIFC137. Its description in RNAcentral is "bacterial SSU rRNA". It matches the Rfam family "Bacterial small subunit ribosomal RNA", at positions 55 to 699 of the family's 1533-position model. Lineage: Bacteria; Pseudomonadati; Pseudomonadota; Gammaproteobacteria; Moraxellales; Moraxellaceae. RNAcentral also lists the same sequence under 3 other names. The record is from RNAcentral.
AUGCAAGUCGAGCGGGGGAAGGUAGCUUGCUACCGGACCUAGCGGCGGACGGGUGAGUAAUGCUUAGGAAUCUGCCUAUUAGUGGGGGACAACAUCUCGAAAGGGAUGCUAAUACCGCAUACGUCCUACGGGAGAAAGCAGGGGAUCUUCGGACCUUGCGCUAAUAGAUGAGCCUAAGUCGGAUUAGCUAGUUGGUGGGGUAAAGGCCUACCAAGGCGACGAUCUGUAGCGGGUCUGAGAGGAUGAUCCGCCACACUGGGACUGAGACACGGCCCAGACUCCUACGGGAGGCAGCAGUGGGGAAUAUUGGACAAUGGGGGGAACCCUGAUCCAGCCAUGCCGCGUGUGUGAAGAAGGCCUUAUGGUUGUAAAGCACUUUAAGCGAGGAGGAGGCUACUUUAGUUAAUACCUAGAGAUAGUGGACGUUACUCGCAGAAUAAGCACCGGCUAACUCUGUGCCAGCAGCCGCGGUAAUACAGAGGGUGCGAGCGUUAAUCGGAUUUACUGGGCGUAAAGCGUGCGUAGGCGGCUUAUUAAGUCGGAUGUGAAAUCCCCGAGCUUAACUUGGGAAUUGCAUUCGAUACUGGUGAGCUAGAGUAUGGGAGAGGAUGGUAGAAUUCCAGGUGUAGCGGUGAAAUGCGUAGAGAUCU